This 475-nucleotide ribosomal RNA is filed under the name Myrianida langerhansi. RNAcentral's name for it is "partial 16S ribosomal RNA". It matches the Rfam family "Bacterial large subunit ribosomal RNA", at positions 1816 to 2597 of the family's 2925-position model. Lineage: Eukaryota; Metazoa; Annelida; Polychaeta; Phyllodocida; Syllidae. The record is from RNAcentral.
UGUUUAUUGACCCACUCUAAUAAAUAAUUUCUGCCCAGUGAUUUUUCAACGGCCGCGGUAUUCUGACCGUGCAAAGGUAGCAUAAUCAUUUGCCUUUUUAUUGGAGGCUAGAAUGAAUGAAUAAACAUAGGUAAAACUGUACCUUAUAUUUUUUUAAAAAUUAUUCCUCAGGUGAAGAAACCUGAAUAUUAUAAAAAGACAAAAAGACCCUAUCAAGCUUUAUAUUUUCUAAUAACUUUUAUUUAAAAUAUUUGGUUGGGGUGACUAUUGAGAUAUAAUUUACCCUCAAUUUUUUAUUAGAAAAACAUUUCAUAUUUAUUUUAUUAUCUUUAAAGAAAAAGCUACUGUAGGGAUAACAGGCUAAUAUUAUUUUAGAGUUCAAAUUAAAAAUAAUGAUUGGCACCUCGAUGUUGGCUUAGGGACCCUAUUUUCCGCAAAAGGAAAAAAAGAUAGUUUGUUCAACUAUUAAACCCCU